RNAcentral lists this ribosomal RNA (252 nucleotides) under uncultured bacterium. RNAcentral's name for it is "partial 16S ribosomal RNA". It matches the Rfam family "Bacterial small subunit ribosomal RNA", at positions 524 to 776 of the family's 1533-position model. The record is from RNAcentral.
UACGUAGGUCCCGAGCGUUGUCCGGAUUUAUUGGGCGUAAAGCGAGCGCAGGUGGUUUAUUAAGUCUGAUGUAAAAGGCAGUGGCUCAACCAUUGUAUGCAUUGGAAACUGGUAGACUUGAGUGCAGGAGAGGAGAGUGGAAUUCCAUGUGUAGCGGUGAAAUGCGUAGAUAUAUGGAGGAACACCGGUGGCGAAAGCGGCUCUCUGGCCUGUAGCUGACACUGAGGCUCGAAAGCGUGGGGAGCAAACAGG